GGGCCCGUAGCUCAGUUGGUUAGAGCAUCCGCUCAUAAUCGGCAGGUCGACAGUUCAAGUCUGUCCGGGCCCACCA
RNAcentral lists this transfer RNA (76 nucleotides) under Spongiibacter sp. RNAcentral's name for it is "tRNA-OTHER". It matches the Rfam family "tRNA". Rfam says of the family: Transfer RNA (tRNA) molecules are approximately 80 nucleotides in length. The record is from RNAcentral. Lineage: Bacteria; Pseudomonadati; Pseudomonadota; Gammaproteobacteria; Cellvibrionales; Spongiibacteraceae.